Molecule: ribosomal RNA, 237 nt
Filed under: uncultured bacterium
Lineage: Bacteria
Description: partial 16S ribosomal RNA
Rfam family: Bacterial small subunit ribosomal RNA
Source: RNAcentral
GAGCGAAUCUCAAAAAGAAUAGUCUCAGUUCGGACUGUGGGCUGCAACCCGCCCACACGAAGUUGGAGUUGCUAGUAAUCCCGAAUCAGCAUGUCGGGGUGAAUGCGUUCCCGGGUCUUGUACACACCGCCCGUCAAGCCAUGGGAGUUGGGAGUGCCCGAAGUCGGUGACCUAACCGUAAGGAAGGAGCCGCCUAAGGUAAUACCAAUGACUGGGGUUAAGUCGUAACAAGGUAAC